UACGUAGGCAGCAAGCGUUGUUCGGAGUUACUGGGCGUAAAGGGUGUGUAGGCGGUUCUUUAAGUUUGGUGUGAAAUCUCCCGGCUCAACCGGGAGGGUGCGCCGAAUACUGAGGGACUAGAGUGUGGGAGAGGAAAGUGGAAUUCCUGGUGUAGCGGUGAAAUGCGUAGAUAUCGGAAGGAACACCAGUGGCGAAAGCGGCUUCCUGGUCCAGCACCGACGUUCAGGCACGAAAGCGUGGGGAGCAAACAGG
Molecule: ribosomal RNA, 253 nt
Filed under: uncultured bacterium
Lineage: Bacteria
Description: partial 16S ribosomal RNA
Rfam family: Bacterial small subunit ribosomal RNA
Source: RNAcentral